CCUACGGGUGGCAGCAGUGAGGAAUAUUGGUCAAUGGACGAGAGUCUGAACCAGCCAAGUAGCGUGAAGGAUGACUGCCCUAUGGGUUGUAAACUUCUUUUAUAAGGGAAUAAAACGAGGCACGUGUGCCUUUUUGCAUGUACUUUAUGAAUAAGGAUCGGCUAACUCCGUGCCAGCAGCCGCGGUAAUACGGAGGAUCCGAGCGUUAUCCGGAUUUAUUGGGUUUAAAGGGAGCGUAGACGGGUUGUUAAGUCAGUUGUGAAAGUUUGUGGCUCAACCGUAAAAUUGCAGUUGAUACUGGCAGUCUUGAGUACAGUAGAGGUAGGCGGAAUGCGUGGUGUAGCGGUGAAAUGCUUAGAUAUCACGAAGAACCCCGAUUGCGAAGGCAGCUUGCUGAACUGUAACUGACGCUGAUGCUCGAAAGUGUGGGUAUCAAACAGGAGUAGAUACCCGUGUAGUC
This 460-nucleotide ribosomal RNA is filed under the name uncultured bacterium. Its description in RNAcentral is "partial 16S ribosomal RNA". It matches the Rfam family "Bacterial small subunit ribosomal RNA", at positions 338 to 795 of the family's 1533-position model. The record is from RNAcentral.